CCUACGGGUGGCAGCAGUGGAGAAUCAUUCACAAUGGGGGAAACCCUGAUGGAGCGACGCCGCGUGGGGGAAUGAAGGUCUCCGGAUUGUAAACUCCUGUCAUGUGGGAGCAAAUUAAAAAGAUAGUACCACAAGAGGAAGAGACGGCUAACUCUGUGCCAGCAGCCGCAGUAAUACAGAGGUCUCAAGCUUUGGUCGGAACUACUGGGCGUAAAGCGUGCGUAGGCGGUUGCGUAAGUCGGAUGUGAAAGGGGCGGGCUCAACCCGUGGACGGCACAUGAUACUGGGAGACUUGAGUGAUGGAGAGGGAACCGGAAUUCCCGGUGUAGCAGUGAAAUGCGUAGAUAUCGGGAGGAACACUCGUGGCGAAGGCGGGUUCCUGGACAGUAACUGACGCUGAGGCACGAAAGCCAGGGGAGCGAAAAGGAUUAGAUACCCCAGUAGUC
RNAcentral lists this ribosomal RNA (446 nucleotides) under uncultured bacterium. Its description in RNAcentral is "partial 16S ribosomal RNA". It matches the Rfam family "Bacterial small subunit ribosomal RNA", at positions 338 to 795 of the family's 1533-position model. The record is from RNAcentral.